RNAcentral lists this ribosomal RNA (787 nucleotides) under uncultured bacterium. RNAcentral describes it as "bacterial SSU rRNA". It matches the Rfam family "Bacterial small subunit ribosomal RNA", at positions 8 to 796 of the family's 1533-position model. The record is from RNAcentral.
AGAGUUUGAUCAUGGCUCAGGGUGAACGCUAGCGGCAGGCUUAACACAUGCAAGUCGAGGGGUAUAGGUUUUCGGACCUAGAGACCGGCGCACGGGUGCGUAACGCGUAUGCAAUCUACCUUUUACAGAGGGAUAGCCCAGAGAAAUUUGGAUUAAUACCUCAUAGUAUUAUUGAAUGGCAUCAUUUAAUAAUUAAAGUCACAACGGUAAAAGAUGAGCAUGCGUCCCAUUAGCUAGUUGGUAAGGUAACGGCUUACCAAGGCAACGAUGGGUAGGGGUCCUGAGAGGGAGAUCCCCCACACUGGUACUGAGACACGGACCAGACUCCUACGGGAGGCAGCAGUGAGGAAUAUUGGUCAAUGGGCGCAAGCCUGAACCAGCCAUGCCGCGUGCAGGAUGAAGCAUCUAUGGUGUGUAAACUGCUUUUGUACGAGAAGAAACACUCCUUCGUGAAGGAGCUUGACGGUAUCGUAAGAAUAAGGACCGGCUAACUCCGUGCCAGCAGCCGCGGUAAUACGGAGGGUCCAAGCGUUAUCCGGAAUCAUUGGGUUUAAAGGGUCCGUAGGCGGUUUAGUAAGUCAGUGGUGAAAGCCCAUCGCUCAACGGUGGAACGGCCAUUGAUACUGCUAGACUUGAAUUAUUAGGAAGUAACUAGAAUAUGUAGUGUAGCGGUGAAAUGCUUAGAGAUUACAUGGAAUACCAAUUGCGAAGGCAGGUUACUACUAAUGGAUUGACGCUGAUGGACGAAAGCGUGGGUAGCGAACAGGAUUAGAUACCCUAGUAGUCC